Molecule: transfer RNA, 65 nt
Filed under: Biomphalaria tenagophila
Lineage: Eukaryota; Metazoa; Mollusca; Gastropoda; Planorbidae
Description: tRNA-Leu
Source: RNAcentral
UUUUAACUUGGCAGAAAAAUGCAAUUAAUUUAGGAUUAAUUUAUGUCCUUAUGGAUUGUUGGUAA